CCUGUCCCAAAGAUAUACAAUGAGCAAAUAACAUAUUUAUUGGAUCCAAAUCAAAGAAACAUGCAGUUGGUUCAAAUAAGGAGUGGAAACCAAAGGUGAUCAGCUCUAA
Hibiscus syriacus is the source of this 109-nucleotide long non-coding RNA. RefSeq lists it as uncharacterized. The record is from RefSeq and is a predicted model, not a curated record. The transcript is spliced from 3 exons. NCBI's taxonomy places the organism in Eukaryota, Viridiplantae, Streptophyta, Magnoliopsida, Malvales, Malvaceae.